GCCAUUGUAGCUCAGAUGGAAGAGCGCCUGUCUGAAGAACAGGAGGUCGAUAGCUCGAAACUAUCCUUUGGCACCA
RNAcentral lists this transfer RNA (76 nucleotides) under bacterium. Its description in RNAcentral is "tRNA-Phe". It matches the Rfam family "tRNA". Rfam says of the family: Transfer RNA (tRNA) molecules are approximately 80 nucleotides in length. Their secondary structure includes four short double-helical elements and three loops (D, anti-codon, and T loops). RNAcentral also lists the same sequence under 2 other names. The record is from RNAcentral.